GCCCUGUGAUGAUUAUUUAAGGCUUGUUUCUCAAAACAUUUGCAUUUGCUUCGCCCAGCCAGGCUUGAGAGCUAAUGUUGUUUGAUCCAUCCUUGGAUGUCUUCGGGC
This 108-nucleotide small nucleolar RNA is filed under the name Aegilops tauschii subsp. strangulata. Its description in RNAcentral is "snoRNA SNORD14". The record is from RNAcentral. Lineage: Eukaryota; Viridiplantae; Streptophyta; Magnoliopsida; Poales; Poaceae.